GGGCUUGUAGUUUAACUGGUAAAACAACGGUCUCCAAAACCGUAGUUCUCAGUUCGAGUCUGGGCAAGCCUGCCA
This 75-nucleotide transfer RNA is filed under the name Candidatus Dojkabacteria bacterium. RNAcentral's name for it is "tRNA-Trp". It matches the Rfam family "tRNA". From Rfam's summary of the family: Transfer RNA (tRNA) molecules are approximately 80 nucleotides in length. Their secondary structure includes four short double-helical elements and three loops (D, anti-codon, and T loops). Further hydrogen bonds mediate the characteristic L-shaped molecular structure. tRNAs have two regions of fundamental functional importance: the anti-codon, which is responsible for specific mRNA codon recognition, and the 3' end, to which the tRNAs corresponding amino acid is attached (by aminoacyl-tRNA synthetases). tRNAs cope with the degeneracy of the genetic code in two manners: having more than one tRNA (with a specific anti-codon) for a particular amino acid; and 'wobble' base-pairing, i.e. permitting non-standard base-pairing at the 3rd anti-codon position. The record is from RNAcentral.